GGGGAUUUAGCUCAGAGGUAGAGCACUUGCCUAGCAAGCACAAGGCCCUGGGUUCGAUCCCCAGCUCCG
RNAcentral lists this transfer RNA (69 nucleotides) under Rattus norvegicus (Norway rat). It matches the Rfam family "tRNA". From Rfam's summary of the family: Transfer RNA (tRNA) molecules are approximately 80 nucleotides in length. Their secondary structure includes four short double-helical elements and three loops (D, anti-codon, and T loops). Further hydrogen bonds mediate the characteristic L-shaped molecular structure. tRNAs have two regions of fundamental functional importance: the anti-codon, which is responsible for specific mRNA codon recognition, and the 3' end, to which the tRNAs corresponding amino acid is attached (by aminoacyl-tRNA synthetases). tRNAs cope with the degeneracy of the genetic code in two manners: having more than one tRNA (with a specific anti-codon) for a particular amino acid; and 'wobble' base-pairing, i.e. permitting non-standard base-pairing at the 3rd anti-codon position. Lineage: Eukaryota; Metazoa; Chordata; Mammalia; Rodentia; Muridae. The record is from Rfam by way of RNAcentral.